CGACCGGCGCACGGGUGCGUAACGCGUAUGCAACCUACCUUUAACAGGGGGAUAACACUGAGAAAUUGGUACUAAUACCCCAUAAUAUCAUAGAAGGCAUCUUUUAUGGUUGAAAAUUCCGAUGGUUAGAGAUGGGCAUGCGUUGUGUUAGCUAGUUGGUGGGGUAACGGCUCACCAAGGCGACGAUACAUAGGGGGACUGAGAGGUUAACCCCCCACACUGGUACUGAGACACGGACCAG
RNAcentral lists this ribosomal RNA (241 nucleotides) under uncultured bacterium. Its description in RNAcentral is "partial 16S ribosomal RNA". It matches the Rfam family "Bacterial small subunit ribosomal RNA", at positions 92 to 334 of the family's 1533-position model. The record is from RNAcentral.